RNAcentral lists this ribosomal RNA (500 nucleotides) under uncultured bacterium. RNAcentral describes it as "bacterial SSU rRNA". It matches the Rfam family "Bacterial small subunit ribosomal RNA", at positions 36 to 507 of the family's 1533-position model. The record is from RNAcentral.
UACGUACGGGCCGGACGGACGGUUAACUUUAAACUAACUAGUCGACGAGUCGGGGGCAGCAUGGUGUAGCAAUACACUGAUGGCGACCGGCAAACGGGUGCGGAACACGUACAGAACCUUCCUUCGAGCGGGGAAUAGCCCAGAGAAAUUUGGAUUAAUACCCCAUAGUAUAUUGGAGUGGCAUCACUUUAGUAUUAAAGAUUUAUCACUUGAAGAUGGCUGUGCGGCUGAUUAGGUAGUUGGCGGGGUAACGGCCCACCAAGCCUGCGAUCAGUAACUGGUGUGAGAGCACGACCAGUCACACGGGCACUGAGACACGGGCCCGACUCCUACGGGAGGCAGCAGUAAGGAAUAUUGGUCAAUGGACGAAAGUCUGAACCAGCCAUGCCGCGUGGAGGAUGAAGGUCCUCUGGAUUGUAAACUUCUUUUAUAUGGGACGAAAAAAGGGCUUUCUAGCUCGUCUGACGGUACCAUAUGAAUAAGUACCGGCUAACUCCGUG